CUACGGGUGGCAGCAGUGGGGAAUAUUGGACAAUGGGGGAAACCCUGAUCCAGCAAUGCCGCGUGUGUGAAGAAGGCCUGCGGGUUGUAAAGCACUUUCGGUUGGGAGGACUGCUUCUAGCACUAAUAUUGUUGGAAGUUGACGUUACCUUCAGAAGAAGCACCGGCUAACUCCGUGCCAGCAGCCGCGGUAAUACGGAGGGUGCAAGCGGUAAUCGGAAUUACUGGGCGUAAAGCGCGCGUAGGCGGCUAGAUCAGUCGGGUGUGAAAGCCCCGGGCUUAACCUGGGAACUGCAUCCAAUACUGUCUAACUUGAGUACAGGAGAGGAGAGUGGAAUUCCACAUGUAGCGGUGAAAUGCGUAGAUAUGUGGAGGAACACCAAUGGCGAAGGCAGCUCUCUGGCCUGAUACUGACGCUGAGGUGCGAAAGCGUGGGGAGCAAACAGGAUUAGAUACCCUCGUAGUC
RNAcentral lists this ribosomal RNA (465 nucleotides) under uncultured bacterium. Its description in RNAcentral is "partial 16S ribosomal RNA". It matches the Rfam family "Bacterial small subunit ribosomal RNA", at positions 339 to 795 of the family's 1533-position model. The record is from RNAcentral.